GACGAACGCUGGCGGCGUGCUUAACACAUGCAAGUCGAGCGGUAAGGCCCUUUCGGGGGUACACGAGCGGCGAACGGGUGAGUAACACGUGGGUGACCUGCCCUUAGCUCUGGGAUAAGCCUGGGAAACUGGGUCUAAUACCGGAUAUGACUCCAUGACGCAUGUUGUGGGGUGGAAAGCCUUGUGCGGCUAGGGAUGGGCCCGCGGCCUAUCAGCUUGUUGGUGGGGUGAUGGCCACCAAGGCGACGACGGGUAGCCGGCCUGAGAGGGCGACCGGCCACACUGGGACUGAGACACGGCCCAGACUCCUACGGGAGGCAGCAGUGGGGAAUCUUGCGCAAUGCGCGAAAGCGUGACGCAGCAACGCCGCGGU
RNAcentral lists this ribosomal RNA (373 nucleotides) under uncultured bacterium. RNAcentral describes it as "bacterial SSU rRNA". It matches the Rfam family "Bacterial small subunit ribosomal RNA", at positions 28 to 403 of the family's 1533-position model. The record is from RNAcentral.